GAUGAACGCUGGCGGCGUGCCUAAUACAUGCAAGUCGAGCGAACGGACGAGAAGCUUGCUUCUCUGAUGUUAGCGGCGGACGGGUGAGUAACACGUGGAUAACCUACCUAUAAGACUGGGAUAACUUCGGGAAACCGGAGCUAAUACCGGAUGAUAUUUUGAACCGCAUGGUUCAAAAGUGAAAGACGGUCUUGCUGUCCCUUAUAGAUGGAUCCGCGCUGCAUUAGCCAGUUGGUAAGGUAACGGCUUACCAAGGCAACGAUGCAUAGCCGACCUGAGAGGGUGAUCGGCCACACUGGAACUGAGACACGGUCCAGACUCCUACGGGAGGCAGCAGUAGGGAAUCUUCCGCAAUGGGCGAAAGCCUGACGGAGCAACGCCGCGUGAGUGAUGAAGGUCUUCGGAUCGUAAAACUCUGUUAUUAGGGAAGAACAUAUGUGUAAGUAACUGUGCACAUCUUGACGGUACCUAAUCAGAAAGCCACGGCUAACUACGUG
This 497-nucleotide ribosomal RNA is filed under the name uncultured bacterium. Its description in RNAcentral is "partial 16S ribosomal RNA". It matches the Rfam family "Bacterial small subunit ribosomal RNA", at positions 28 to 507 of the family's 1533-position model. The record is from RNAcentral.